CGUUCUUCGUACGUCGCUUACUACAUCCAAGAUCAAAUGACACAUCCAAGAUCAAAUCAUCGCGCUAACCGUGAGCUCGCUAAUCCGGUUCCCCGAACACACCUGCUGUUGACGAUUACUACAGCUGGACGCAGUAAUGUGACAUCACUGGGUGUCGUAAAAGGGGCUACGCAUCGAUAGUAGAAACAUUGAUCGGCAACCCUCUGAUUGGUCGGCGAAAAUGUCGACGGAGCGCGCUCGGCUCGGUAUUUUUCGGCAGCAGAGCAAGAACUCUUGAGAGAGGGAUUUCAGGAGUUUCAGAGUUUAAUCAGAACGCAAGGGAACACUGCAAAGGCUGCAAAAGCAAGGAGCGAGGGCUGGCAGGAAGUUGCUGACAAAUUAAACUCGUAAGUAAUUUAAUAAUAACAAUAAUAAUGGAGUGGAUUGAUAUAGCGCUUUUCAAGGCACCCAAAGCGCUGUACAAUGCCACUAUUCAGUCACUCUCACAUUCACACACUGGGGGAGGCAGCUACAGUUGUAGCCACAGCUGCCCUGGGGCAGACUGACAGAAGCCAGGCUGCCAUAUCGCGCCAUCGGCCCCUCUGGCCAACACCAGUAGGCGGUAGGGUAGAUUUAUUAUAUUACACUAUAUUAUCCAAUAUUAUAUUACAUUAUAUUAUAAUAUGUUAUAUUUUAUCCUCUGUCACAUUAGAGCCACGACAGGACCCACUAGAACAUGGGAACAAGUAAAAGUGAAAUAUAAGAAUAUUCUACAGAAUGGUAAUAUUUAUCACUUAUAUUGCUUUUAGUCUCUUGGAAAGAGACCCUGGAAUAAUCUGUUUGUUUAUAACAGCAACCAAGAAAAGGGCAGAGCAACAAAAGACAGGUGGUGGUCCUGCACCCCCUCGUCAACAAGUUGGUUAAGUAAAUAAUACCCUCACGGGAAUAUCGAUAUCUCUCUAUGAGCACACUGUCGCGCUGAGCUAAAGGAUCCUGUCUGUCCCGCAAUAUACGCUGAAUUCUGAAAACUCUCCUUAUCAAUCUUGCACCUUCCGCAAUGGGUUGGUCGCGUAUACGGACAGGACAUGGCUGCGACAGGCUUCCCAAAUCCACCUUCGCUUUUAUAGCCGUGGUCUCUCAUCUUGAUUACACGAAGUAAUUUACAAUUACUACUCUGAAAUAUGAAUUACAUCUGUAAUAAUCACAUACAUGUAAUAGAAUGUUAAUAGUAGAUUUCCCUUUUUUAGGAAAUGACCUGUAUGUAUCUGUGUGACAUCAAUAAAAGGAUCAAGUGCUGCAUUAUCUUUAGUUACAUUGAUAAUAUUUAUUUAUGGUGAAACAGUGGAAAAAUAUCGCUGUUGCUUUCGUAUAAAUGAAGCGGACAUACCUGCGUGGCCGCGAUCUAAUCCUGUUUACGCUUACGGCUCUGUUGCUAUGACAGCAAGUCCCGGAUGAGCUUCGGGGAACCGACUGAUACUCUAAAUGUUUUGGCUCUACCAUGAGAUUCAGGGACGGUCCAGCUGAUUUUUGAAGGGCAGAGACAAACUGUGAGGUUCUUUAUAGACACAGUCUGUUAUCAAGUUGUGUGAGAAUUUAUUUUUCAGAUGAUCUGACCUUGUUGGUGCA
Molecule: long non-coding RNA, 1605 nt
Organism: Astatotilapia calliptera (eastern happy)
Lineage: Eukaryota; Metazoa; Chordata; Actinopteri; Cichliformes; Cichlidae
Source: Ensembl